UCAAGGAAUGAAUUGCUUACGCUAUUAUAGUAUAAUUAUUUGAAAACCGUACUGCUUUUAAUAACAUUUGCCUGACUGUUAUAGAAGGGAUAACGUUUGCGAGCAUAACGUAGAGGAAGUAGAGGUAUUAUACAUAUGUGUGUAUCUGUCUGUUAUGUUGCAGAAAUCCUUGCUGUAUGAAACUUUGAUAUCAGUAAGACAAUUCAUGUUGUGUCAGUUGUUGUUUAGUCUUUGAAACCGGUAGACGGGCCUCCAGCUCUGGUCCAGCAAUCAAACGUAGCUAUUAUUCAGGCUUAACUGAAAAGACACGUUUAAAAAUUCUUAACAGGUUAAAUAAAUGGCGAAACAUAACGCCAAUGUCAAACAUCAAAUAAUCGCGACUAAAAAAAAAAAGGCUGCUCUUCCCCAACCGAAUCAAAUGAAUAAAAAAUAAAAAUAGAAAAUAGAGAAAAAAAAAAGAAAAGGAAAAUGUCGGUGAUUUGUCAGUGAAUAGCAGUCAGUGAAUAUUAUGGCAAACGCGUCUUCGAUCCACUUGUGUCUGUCUAUGCUGUUUGCGAACGUGUGUCUCUGCUUCCGUCAUAAGGUUUCCCGAUAGUUAUACACUUUGCGAACACUUGCGAUUC
Molecule: long non-coding RNA, 623 nt
Organism: Glossina fuscipes
Lineage: Eukaryota; Metazoa; Arthropoda; Insecta; Diptera; Glossinidae
Exons: 2
Source: RefSeq, a predicted model, not a curated record